UAUAGUACAAAAUUGACCCCAAAAAGUAUGUAUUACAUAAGGGAAUCAAACAUCUGCGCAUGCGUGAAUUGGUAGUCCACAAGGAGAGGGGACAUAAGCAAUAUGGCCCAUCCAAUUAAAAGAAAUGUGUUUCGAUUCAAUCAAUCAGACAUGAAUGUCGGACAUCAGGAUAGUACAUACUUUUCGGGGUCAUGUAUUGAGUUGGAGUUAGCAGUCCAGUUAUACUAUAGAAGUCUGUGGGCGUAACCGGCCUAGUGGCAGUGCUGCGAGAUCCAGAGAAUUUUUGGGCAUGCGCAUUGAGCAAAUGCUGUGCAUGCGCUGUAGCGUGGGAAAUUCUCUGGAUUUCGCAGCACUGCCUAGUGGCUGCGCUCCCAGGUUUCUCUCUGGUCUGGAACUAGUAAUUCCAAUGAAGUAUCAGACGUAAGGCGCAAAUGAUGAGCAGGCCCGUGAAGAAAUUUGUGCUGUUUAUGGACGAGAAUCGUUAUCAAAAGCAACAGCCAAAAGAUGGUUCAGUCGCCUUCGUUCUGGAAAUGUCGAUGUCCAAGAAGCUCCUCGCAUUAGGCGACCAAUCACAAAAAAAGUGAAUGGUAUUCUGGCAAAAGUCGAGCAAGACCGGCAUAUAAGCAGUCAUGACAUUGCCAAUGACCUAAACAUCCAUCACCAAACAGUGUUAAGCUAUUUGGAGGAAGCUGGCUACAAAAAGAAGCUCGAUGUUUGGGUGCCACAUGAUCGGACUCGAAAAAAUGUAUUCGAUCGAAUUUCUAUCUGCGAAUCUCUACUGAAACGUAACAAAAUCGAGCCAUUUCUGAAACGGUUGAUCACGAAUGAUGAAAAGUGGAUAACCUACGGCAACAAUGUGCGAAAAAAAUCGUGGUCGAAGCAAGGAAAAGCUCCACAGUCUGUGGCAAAGCCCACACGCCUACACGCCCUGACGCCCAAGAAGGUUAUACUGUGUGUUUGGUGGGAUUGGAAGGGCAUCGUGCAUCACGAGCUGCUGCCGCCAGGCAGAAAGAUAGACUCGGACCUGUACUGUCGACAAUUAGCGCGAUUGCAGCUAGCAAUUCAAAAGAAACGGCCGGAACUGAUCAGCAAAAUGGGUGUCGUAUACCACGCUGACAAUGCCAGACCGCAUACAUCUUUAACGACUCGUCAGAAAUUGAGAGAACUUGGCUGGGAGGUUUUAAUGCAUCCACCGUAUAGCCCGGACCUGACACCGUCAGACUAUCAUUUGUUUCCGUCUCUGCAGAACUCCUUGAAUGGUGUUAAAUUAGUUUCGAAAGAGGCCUGUAAAAACCACGUGGCACAAUUUUUUGACCAGAAACCACAGGAGUUCUAUAGCGACGGGAUUAUGGUGUUGCCGGAAAAAUGGCAGAAGGUCAUCGAACAAAAUGGUGCAUAUGUGGUUUCAUAAUGUUAUUUUCAAAUAACAAUAAAUGUAUUCUCAAUUUUGACCUCCAAA
Molecule: RNA transcript, 1459 nt
Organism: Harpegnathos saltator (Jerdon's jumping ant)
Lineage: Eukaryota; Metazoa; Arthropoda; Insecta; Hymenoptera; Formicidae
Gene name: histone-lysine N-methyltransferase SETMAR-like
Exons: 3
Source: RefSeq, a predicted model, not a curated record